Saccostrea echinata is the source of this 306-nucleotide long non-coding RNA. RefSeq lists it as uncharacterized. The transcript is spliced from 3 exons. NCBI's taxonomy places the organism in Eukaryota, Metazoa, Mollusca, Bivalvia, Ostreida, Ostreidae. The record is from RefSeq and is a predicted model, not a curated record.
ACAUACAACGACCGGCAUGGUAGCAAAGUGUCAAAGAUGGGAUGCACAGAGCCCACAUUAACACGGCUAUGAUGUUUGUAGCAUUGUACAAGAGACUACUGUAGAAAUUUCGACAGAGAAGAGCCAUGGUCUUUCACCAUUGACUCGGGUGUCUGCUGGGAACUCUGUGGGGUUGAUAUUUGUGCAAUGCCGUAUCUAAAUAUGUAUUUCAAUGCUUCGAUGAUAACUGGUCAGUGUGAAUAUGGUAUCCCCAGUGGUAGGGGAUUCUGUGGGUAUAUAUAUAACUUAGUAUCAUGUUUGAAGGAG